Molecule: long non-coding RNA, 1072 nt
Organism: Cebus imitator (Panamanian white-faced capuchin)
Lineage: Eukaryota; Metazoa; Chordata; Mammalia; Primates; Cebidae
Exons: 4
Source: RefSeq, a predicted model, not a curated record
CAUCAGAGAAAGGGUAGACUCUGUACCCUAGAACCUGGAGCUAACAGAGAAAAAAUGUGAUGUGGACUAUGCUAGACAGGCUAUUGGAGUAAGGGUGAAGGUCUCAUCAUUGGGACAUAUUAACACAGUGUUUUUAUGCAGAUGACUGAACCCAUAGAGUUAGGUGGCUGAGAGGAUGCAGCCUCCCAGAUCUCUACAACUGAUGUCAGCAAGAUGGGAGCACCCAGCUUCAGUGUUCAGAAGUAGAUUUAUGCAGACUUCCACAUCUUACAUGCAGGAGGGAUCCUCCCUUACCUGAGCAGGGAGGCAGCAGGUGGCUGAAAUCCUGGUGUGAUGUGGCUGGAUUAUGCAUGAUCUGAGGACUACUGCACAGGUAACUGCAGGAUGAGUUCAGAAUUUUUCUAUAAAUAUAUUAAAAUACAAAGUAAUCCAGGAGCAGCCACUAGGCAAACACCAAACCUUGCAUUCCUGACCAGAUCUAUCACAGAGCUCAUCAGCACAGAGCUCCUCACACAGGUGACUGAACCCGUGGUUUUGGUGUCUGAGAAGAUGCAGCUUCUCCAGUCUCUGCAACUGAUAUCAGCAAGAUGGGAGCACUCAGCUUCAGUGUUCAGAAGCAGAUUUAGGCCGACUACCACACCUUAUGUCCUGGAGGGAUCCACCCUGACUUGUGCAGGUAAGGUCACAGAAAGACUUGCUUUCCAUCACGGGGACAGGAUUACAGCCUGCUCAGAAGCAUCUUUUGGUCCAGCUCUUGCGUCAUUUAAAAGAUUCCAGCUCCUCUCUAAUACUGAAUUCAACUAGUAUUACAGAGAGAUGUUGCUAAUCUUCUAAGCAAACACACUGCCAUCAGGAUCUCCCAGAAGCCACACACACACACACCUUGGAACCAUAAUGCCAGCAGUAGCUAUAGUAGAACGUGCAGGCUCAUGUACCUGUUGAUCAUUUUUAGGCUACAUAUCAAACUGGACCAUUCUGCAAUAAAAAUAUAAUGCAAUGAUGAUUAUCAGAGCAUUUUGUACACUAGGGAAUGUUUUAAGUUAUCUGAACAUCAAAUUAAAUAUAAUGACAA